CUCCAUCUAGUUUUGUAUCUUAUGAUUUUUCUAUACUAUGAGCUGUUUAAAUAAUACACUCCGUUUCAAGUAUUAUUGUGGCUAUUCAGGAAGUGAAACAUGUCAGAUCCUAGAAUUUUUGAAGGGAAACUCAGAUUCUUUCUUCUGCCUCCAAGUCAUGUAGCAUCUGCUAUAAGUCUGUUCCUUGAAUUGAUGAAUUAGGCUCAUUCUGUAAGCAUCACACUACCAAUAUUGUUUGAUUAAGAUUGUAUUGAGAAGUCAAAAAGUAAAUAUACAAAUGAUUCGUUCUAAAUUUAGCUGUCUAUCAAAAUGCAUUCAAGAAAAGUUGGCUAACAACUGACUGACACGAUAACCAUGUAUCACUGGUUUAUUCUCCAGGAUAAUAAUUAAGAAAAAAAUGAGGAACAUUUACUAAGUGAAGUGCCAUGAAACACGGGAUAACUCAGUUUUGUUUGUCACAACAAGGCUGUGAUGAACCAGCAACUAUCACUAUUGAGACUAAGUCUGUACUCCUUGUUACUAAAGACUUGUACGACUCUGGAGAAAUAAGAGUACCUCCUGGACUAUGUGAUUUAUGCAGACUAAGAUUGCAUGAUGUUGACAUAUGCAAAGUACUGUUUAAUAUUUUCAGGAUUUCUUGUUUGAAAAUUAAUUAUCUAUUUGCUGUUGAGAAUGAUCAAUGUGCAAUGCAUG
This 693-nucleotide long non-coding RNA is filed under the name Phoenix dactylifera (date palm). RNAcentral describes it as "long non-coding RNA (PDAC_LNC006284)". Lineage: Eukaryota; Viridiplantae; Streptophyta; Magnoliopsida; Arecales; Arecaceae. The record is from RNAcentral.